This 253-nucleotide ribosomal RNA is filed under the name uncultured bacterium. RNAcentral's name for it is "partial 16S ribosomal RNA". It matches the Rfam family "Bacterial small subunit ribosomal RNA", at positions 524 to 776 of the family's 1533-position model. The record is from RNAcentral.
UACAGAGGGGGCAAGCGUUGUUCGGAAUUACUGGGCGUAAAGGGCGCGUAGGCGGCCUGCUAAGUCGAACGUGAAAUCCCUGGGCUCAACCCAGGAACUGCGUCCGAUACUGGUUGGCUUGAAUCCGGGAGAGGGACGUGGAAUUCCAGGUGUAGCGGUGAAAUGCGUAGAUAUCUGGAGGAACACCGGUGGCGAAGGCGGCGUCCUGGACCGGUAUUGACGCUGAGGCGCGAAAGCCAGGGGAGCAAACGGG